RNAcentral lists this ribosomal RNA (719 nucleotides) under uncultured Planctomycetota bacterium. RNAcentral's name for it is "bacterial SSU rRNA". It matches the Rfam family "Bacterial small subunit ribosomal RNA", at positions 79 to 759 of the family's 1533-position model. Lineage: Bacteria; Pseudomonadati; Planctomycetota. The record is from RNAcentral.
GCAAUACGGCAUAUAGUGGCGGACGGGUGAGUAAUGCUUGGGUAAUGUACCUUGGACACAGGAAUAGCGUCGGGCUCCGAAAGGAGUCCUUUGCGAAAGUGACGGUAAUACCUGAUGAAGUCUUUGAAAGGCAUCUUUCGAUUUCCAAAAGGCGGGGACCGCAAGGCCUGCCGGUCUGAGAUCAGCCCAAGUCCUAUCAGCUAGUUGGUGAGGUAACGGCCCACCAAGGCAUCGACGGGUAGCCGGUCUGAGAGGAUGGUCGGCCACAUCGGAACUGAGACACUGUCCGGACACCUACGGGUGGCUGCAGUAACGAAUAAUCCGCAAUGGGCGAAAGCCUGACGGUGCGACGCCGCGUGUGGGAGGAAGUCCUUCGGGAUGUAAACCACUUUUAGGGAGAUGCAAACGUAGCGGGCUAAUAUCCCGCGAGUUGAGCUAUUCCAGAAAAAGCCUCGGCUAACUCUGUGCCAGCAGCCGCGGUAAUACAGAGGAGGCAAGCGUUGUUCGGAAUCACUGGGCUUAAAGCGCGUGUAGGCGGUUUCGCAAGUACCUUGUGAAAUCCCACGGCUCACCCGUGGAACUGCAGGGUAUACUGCGAAACUUGAGGCAGGUAGGGGCCACUGGAACUCCAGGUGGAACGGUGAAAUGUGUAGAUAUCUGGAGGAACGCCCGCGGCGAAAGCGGGUGGCUGGGCCUGUCCUGACGCUGAUAUGCGAAAG